GACGAACGCUGGCGGCGUGCUUAACACAUGCAAGUCGAACGGAAAGGCCCUGCUUUUGUGGGGUGCUCGAGUGGCGAACGGGUGAGUAACACGUGAGUAACCUGCCCUUGACUUUGGGAUAACUUCAGGAAACUGGGGCUAAUACCGGAUAGGAGCUCCUGCUGCAUGGUGGGGGUUGGAAAGUUUCGGCGGUUGGGGAUGGACUCGCGGCUUAUCAGCUUGUUGGUGGGGUAGUGGCUUACCAAGGCUUUGACGGGUAGCCGGCCUGAGAGGGUGACCGGCCACAUUGGAACUGAGACACGGUCCAGACUCCUACGGGAGGCAGCAGUAGGGAAUCUUCCGCAAUGGGCGAAAGCCUGACGGAGCAACGCCGCGUGAGUGAUGAAGGUCUUCGGAUCGUAAAACUCUGUUAUUAGGGAAGAACAAAUGUGUAAGUAACUAUGCACGUCUUGACGGUACCUAAUCAGAAAGCCACGGCUAACUACGUG
RNAcentral lists this ribosomal RNA (488 nucleotides) under uncultured bacterium. RNAcentral describes it as "partial 16S ribosomal RNA". It matches the Rfam family "Bacterial small subunit ribosomal RNA", at positions 28 to 507 of the family's 1533-position model. The record is from RNAcentral.